RNAcentral lists this ribosomal RNA (335 nucleotides) under uncultured Pseudomonas sp. RNAcentral describes it as "bacterial SSU rRNA". It matches the Rfam family "Bacterial small subunit ribosomal RNA", at positions 1048 to 1382 of the family's 1533-position model. Lineage: Bacteria; Pseudomonadati; Pseudomonadota; Gammaproteobacteria; Pseudomonadales; Pseudomonadaceae. The record is from RNAcentral.
GUUGUCGUCAGCUCGUGUCGUGAGAUGUUGGGUUAAGUCCCGUAACGAGCGCAACCCUUGUCCUUAGUUACCAGCACGUUAUGGUGGGCACUCUAAGGAGACUGCCGGUGACAAACCGGAGGAAGGUGGGGAUGACGUCAAGUCAUCAUGGCCCUUACGGCCUGGGCUACACACGUGCUACAAUGGUCGGUACAAAGGGUUGCCAAGCCGCGAGGUGGAGCUAAUCCCAUAAAACCGAUCGUAGUCCGGAUCGCAGUCUGCAACUCGACUGCGUGAAGUCGGAAUCGCUAGUAAUCGUGAAUCAGAAUGUCACGGUGAAUACGUUCCCGGGCCUU